This is a non-coding RNA of Pelobates cultripes (western spadefoot toad), 512 nucleotides long. The record is from the annotation of a GenBank genome assembly. Lineage: Eukaryota; Metazoa; Chordata; Amphibia; Anura; Pelobatidae.
CACUGCUGUGUGUGCUGUUAGUGUGCUGUUAGUGUGAUGUGUGUGUGAGGGUGCUGUUAGUGUGAUGUGAGGGUGUUUGUGUGUGUGUGACUGUGCUGUUUGUGUGUGUGUAUGUUUGUCCUGUGAGGGUGCUGUUUGUGUGAGUGUCGUGUAUUUGUGAGGGUGCUGUUUGUGUGUGUUUGUGAGGGUGCUGUUAGUGUGCUGUGUGUGAGGGUGUUGUGUUUUUUUUAAAGGUGCUGUGUGUGUUUGUGAGGGUGCGGUUAGUGUACUGUGUGUGUGUGAGCUGUAUGUGUGUAGGUGCUGUAUGUGUGUGUGGUGUAUGUUUGGAGGGAUUUGGCAGAUUAGUAAAUCCUUGCUGCCAUGUGCCAUCCCUGGUGGUCCAGUGGAGAGUGAACUCUAGCCUGUGGGGCUAGAGUUAACUCUCGCGAGAUCUGAGCAUUGCCGCAGCAACACUCAGAUAUCGUGAGAGGAACCUGGCAGAGCUUCUGUCUAGAGCUCCCUGGGUCCUCUCC